GGCUGGUUGAGGCUGGAAAUGUGGAGGUGGCUCCAUGGUGCACCCAAAUCUUCCGCUUCCCCAGACAGAGGAGCUGAGUUCUCAGUCAUGGCCUGGCCAAGGUCCCCUGGCAGGGUCUCGGCCUGGAUUCAGCCUCCGGUCGGAUGGCAGAGGCCUGGAUAUGGACGUAGCCCCUCUGCUGCACACAAGACUGAGUGGCGGCCCAGCGAGGUGGCUCACGCCUGUAAUCCCAGCACUUUGGGAGGCCAAGGCGGACGGAUCACUUGAGGUCAUGAAUUCGAGACCAGCCUGACCAGCAUGGUGAAACUCCAUCUCUAAUAAAAAUACAAAAAAAUUGGCAAGACAUGGUGGCAGG
RNAcentral lists this long non-coding RNA (355 nucleotides) under Pan troglodytes (chimpanzee). RNAcentral describes it as "long non-coding RNA NONPTRT007335". The record is from RNAcentral. Lineage: Eukaryota; Metazoa; Chordata; Mammalia; Primates; Hominidae.